CUCUGCUUUUGCUGCUCCUUGGCACUGGCUUGACAUGGUGUCUUGUUAGCGCUUUGUAGGACAGUUGGUUGCCUGUGAACAACUAACUUGAGAGAAGAGACUGUAGAGUUUGAUGUCAGCCUAGUCCUGCUGUGCCAAGAGGGAUAGGGCUCAUGUUCCAUCUGGGCUGCUGGAAAAAUCUGUCACCUAUCUGCCAGAUUCCUUGGAGAGGAAAAUGCACUUGCUGGAUGAAGAAAAAAUGAUCUGGAAAAAAGAAGACAAAGAGAUCUGUCUGCGGACUGAAGAGAUCAAACAUUGCAAGAUGUGGACAUCUGAAAUACCAAGGGAGCGCCGAAUGUCCCGGGUCAGGAGCUGGAAAUAAUUGACGUCGUGGACUUUCCCAGAAGCCCAGCUAUGCCAGACAUCCAAAGGCACGGCUCUGCUGCUGGUGGGCUCCAGACUGAUCACAGGCUUGCUGUAGUGGUACUUUCACCUUCGGAGGUUUUACAUCUCCACGGGUGACAGGCACCUGGAGCUGCUGUUGCUGUAAAGUCUCCAAAGCACCGCAACCGCAGCAAAAAUAAAUAAUAAUAACCGGGAAGAGCAGCGGAGAGAAAACAGUUGUGCAAGAGGCGUGAGAAGCUCUCGUGCCACGUGGGACACGGGUAACAAUCCUGCCUGUGAGUGACCAGCAGGUGCCACUGCAGCCCCGGGAACAGCGGGGACUGCGGCACGGGGGACACCUGGUGGCCCUCUCGGUCCUCCAAGGUGAUGAGAGCUUGUGCUGUGCCUCCUGAUACUGGGGGUGUAAAAGGCACACUUAGGGUAAAACCCCCUUACAGACACAUUUGCAUGAUUAAUUCUUAGGGCAGGGGACACUCUUCCUAUGUUGGACUCUCUGAAAUGGUUCUUCUUCCUGUCUGAGUUUCCUGCUUGUGCUUGCCUUAUGAUAAAGUGUGAUCCAUCAUGGUGUUUCUGCCUCUGCAUGAAGGUGUGCAAUUAAUAUUUCCUCCCAGGUUACUGUUUUGGGCUCAGCAAGCACUG
RNAcentral lists this long non-coding RNA (1023 nucleotides) under Taeniopygia guttata (zebra finch). RNAcentral describes it as "lncRNA (ENSTGUG00000027331.1)". The record is from RNAcentral. Lineage: Eukaryota; Metazoa; Chordata; Aves; Passeriformes; Estrildidae.